AACUUAGAAGUCCUUGAUGUUCUGAGAAUAUUCAGCAAUGUUUGAACACGAUGUUCAAACAAGCCGCCACUGAGCCAUGGAUGGCGAAUUGGCGGCGGUUGCGUACGAUAUCGAUAUUUGUAACAGAACAUCUAGUACUUCUUAGUUU
Molecule: non-coding RNA, 148 nt
Filed under: human gut metagenome
Source: RNAcentral